UAGUCAUAUGCUUGUCUCAAAGAUUAAGCCAUGCAUGUCUAAGUAUAAACAUCUUUAUACAGUGAAACUGCGUACAGCUCAUUAUAUCAGUUAUUAUUUAUUUGAUGGUACCUUACUACAUGGAUACCCGUAGUAAUUCUAGAGCUAAUACAUGCGUCAAGUCCCGACUUUUUGGAAGGGAUGUAUUUAUUAGAUAAAAAACCAAUGCAGGCAACUGCUCUCUUGGUGAUUCAUAGUAACUUUUCGGAUCGCACGGCUUCACGUCGGCGACAGUUCAUUCAAAUUUCUGCCCUAUCAGCUUUCGACGGUACUGUAGUGGACUACCGUGGCAUUAACGGGUGACGGAGAAUUAGGGUUCGAUUCCGGAGAGGGAGCCUGAGAAACGGCUACCACAUCCAAGGGAGGCAGCAGGCGCGCAAAUUACCCAAUCCUGACACAGGGAGGUAGUGACAAAAAAUAACAAUACCGGGCCUUUUUAGGUCUGGUAAUUGGAAUGAGUACAAUUUAAAUCCCUUAACGAGUAUCCAUU
Molecule: ribosomal RNA, 529 nt
Filed under: uncultured eukaryote
Lineage: Eukaryota
Description: SSU rRNA
Rfam family: Eukaryotic small subunit ribosomal RNA
Source: RNAcentral